RNAcentral lists this long non-coding RNA (1335 nucleotides) under Equus caballus (horse). RNAcentral describes it as "lncRNA (ENSECAG00000060200.1)". Lineage: Eukaryota; Metazoa; Chordata; Mammalia; Perissodactyla; Equidae. The record is from RNAcentral.
GCGUUAAGUAUACAUCCAUGAAAGCAUCAUCACAAUCUAUGCCAUAAAUGUGUUCACCACCUCCAAAAGUUUCCUUCUGCCCUCUUAUUUAUUUAUCGAUAAGAACACUGAACAUAAGAUCCACUCUCUUAGCAAAAUUUUAUGUAUAUAAUUGUUAACUAUAGGCACUAUGCUAUGCAGAUCUCUAGACUUAUUCAUCAUGCAUAACUAGGAAUUAGUACCUUUUCAUGAAUACUCCUCUGUUUUCCCCUACUCCCAACCCCUGGCAGCUACCAUUCUACUCUCUGUUUCUAUGAGUUUGACUAUUUUAGAUUCCUUAUAUACAUGGUAUCGUGUAGUAUUUGUCUUUCUGUGUCUGACUUAUUUUCUUAGCAUAAUGUCCUCCAGAUUCAUCCAUGUUGUUGCUAAUGGCAGGAUUUCCUUCUUUUUUAAGACUAAAUGAUAUUCCAUUGUAUAUAUAUAUAUACCACAUUUUCUUCAUCCAUUUGUCUGUCGAUGGGCAUUUAGGUUGCUUCCACGUCUUGGCUAUUGUAAACAGUGCUGCAAUAAACAUUGGGGUGCACAGGACUUUUGGGAUUGCUGACUUCAGGCUCUUUGGAUAAAUACCCAGUAGUGGGAUGGCUGGAUCGUAUGGUAGUUCUAUUUUUAGUUUUUUGAGGAAUCUCCAUACUGUUUUCCAUAGUGGCUGCACCAGUUUGCAUUCCCACCAGCAGUGCAUGAGGGUUCCUUUUUCUCCGCAACCUCUCCAACAUUUGUUGCUAUUAGUUUUGGAUAUUUUUGUCAUUCUAACGGGUGUAAGGUGAUAUCUUAGUGUAGUUUUGAUUUGCAUUUCCCUGAUGAUCAGCGAUGAUGAGCAUCUUUUCAUGUGCCUAUUGGCCAUCAGUAUAUCUUCUUUGGAGAAAUGUCUGUUCAUGUCUCCAGCCCAUUUUUUGAUUGGGUUGUUUGAUGUUUUGUGGUUGAGUUGCGAGAGUUCUUUAUAUAUUAAGGAUAUUAAGCCUUUGUCAGAUAUAUGACUUGCAAAUAUUUUUUGCCAGUUAGUGGGUUGUUUUUUUGUUUCAAUCCUGUUUUCAUUUGCCUUGAAGAAGCUAUUUAAUCUGAUGAGGUCCCAUUUGUUUAUUCUUUCUAUUGUUUCCCUUCUCUGAGAAGGCAUGGUGUCCGAAAAGAUCCUUUUAAUACUGAUGUCAAAGAGUGUACUGCCUACGUUUUCUUCCAGAAUCCUUAUGGUUUCAGGUCUCACCUUUAGGUCUUUGAUCCAUUUUGAGUUUAUUUUGGUGAAUGGUGAAAAAGAAUGGUCAAUUUUCAUUCUUUUCCAUGUGGCUUUCCAGUUUUCCCAGC